CGUGAGUCAACUAGGCUGACUCAUGACUUAUGAGUUCUGCACAUCUUCUUGGAUAGGUGAUCAUUUGACCCAGGUUGUAUGAAUCCUUCAAGGGGAUUAGGAGAUACAGAGUGGACACAAAAUGGAAGGCUCAAACUUUUGACCGCGAGUUGUGACCUUGACCUUGAGUCAGCAUGACUGAUUCAUAAGUUCUGCACAUGCCUUGAUGAGGUGAUCAUUUAACCCAAAUUUGAUGAAAAUCCUUCAAGGGGUUUAGGAGAUACGGAGCGGACACAAAAGUGUUACGGAAGGAUGGGCGAAGACCAUUCCUAUAACCCCUCACCACUUGUGGCGGGGGAUUAAAAAUACCUACAGUGGAAUUUCAACAUGUAUUAUGCAGUCAGUGAGCACACACUAAGUGUUAAUGAUCAUUAAUUUUGUUUAACUUUUGACCAAAUCCAUUACCUGAUCAGAAUCUGAUGAAAAUUACAGCUCCUGAAAAUCCCCAUGGUUGUGGGUGGUGCAGACAGAAUGUGAGCCAGGAAGUACAUCUGUAAAAGCCCAGACAUAUAGAUAUGUAGGAGUAUCUUCAUUCUUCAAUUGCAUCUUAGCUAAGAAGUUAACUUGGAUCUGCUUCACAGGGAGUCAUUGAUGUUCAACUAAGUAGUAGGAUACAGUUUUCUGAUCAAAUGAAAUGGCUUUAUCUUAUCUGGCUGGAAUUUAAAGAGCUGAGACUACCAUCAGGAAAAUCUACCAUGUAAUAACACUAACCCAGAACAUUGCUACUGAGUCUACCACACAGUAAAGCCGACUAGGGAAUAGCAAUUUAGUCGACCACACAGUGACAGGAACCCGGAGCAUUGCUACUAAUUGUCUCCUAUACAGUAGUUCUGAUUCAGAACAUUGCUACUGAGUCUACCACACAGUAAUGUGGAUUAGGACAUUGCUAUCAAGAUUUUCCAUGCAGUUACACUGACCAGAGUAGUCCAAACAGGAAAAACACUUAGGAUAACUUAGGACGUGUGGUCUUCCACACUGUAAUACUGACCCCAAAGUGUAGCUUUUCUAUGGAAAAUUCAGACAGAUAACUGAAGUUACCUGUCAGUAGGGGCAAUAAACUCUUUAUUAUCUGUUUAUGUUAACACUCCUGAUACUGAAGGCUGGACUCUGCUGAACACUGGAAAAAAAGCAGAGAGAAACAUGCAACUCGCUCUGUGACAUUAGUGCAGUUUUUUUUCAAAUGUGACCAUGAGAUAUAGACAUUAAAAUUAUUUUAAGUAACAUUUAAGUAAUGUUCAAAGGUGGUAGUGAAAACUCACUGAAUGUGACAUCAAAGUUCAAAUGAGUGGGAAAGAAAGAUAGUUGUAGUUACUAGUAAAAAUUUAAGAUUAGAUAUUAAAAUAAUUUUUAAAAGUGACAGUAGGUACAGUAAAAUGUGGAUAAUAUGCAUUUUGAUUGAUAAUGUCAAAUAAUAAAGUGUAACUGAUUGUU
Long non-coding RNA from Mercenaria mercenaria, 1470 nucleotides. RefSeq lists it as uncharacterized. Lineage: Eukaryota; Metazoa; Mollusca; Bivalvia; Venerida; Veneridae. The transcript is spliced from 2 exons. The record is from RefSeq and is a predicted model, not a curated record.